RNAcentral lists this ribosomal RNA (540 nucleotides) under uncultured Geobacteraceae bacterium. RNAcentral's name for it is "bacterial SSU rRNA". It matches the Rfam family "Bacterial small subunit ribosomal RNA", at positions 9 to 526 of the family's 1533-position model. Lineage: Bacteria; Pseudomonadati; Thermodesulfobacteriota; Desulfuromonadia; Geobacterales; Geobacteraceae. The record is from RNAcentral.
GAGUUUGAUCCUGGCUCAGAACGAACGCUGGCGGCGUGCCUAACACAUGCAAGUCGAACGUGAUCCAGAGCUUGCUCUGGUGAAAGUGGCGCACGGGUGAGUAACGCGUGGAUAACCUACCCUGGUAUCCGGGAUAACAUUCCGAAAGGGGUGCUAAUACCGGAUAAGCCCACGGGCUCUUUGGAGCUUGCGGGAAAAGGUGGCCUCUAUUUAUAAGCUACUGUAUCAGGAUGGGUCCGCGUACCAUUAGCUAGUUGGCGGUGUAACGGACCACCAAGGCGACGAUGGUUAGCUGGUCUGAGAGGAUGAUCAGCCACACUGGAACUGAGACACGGUCCAGACUCCUACGGGAGGCAGCAGUGGGGAAUUCUGCGCAAUGGGGGAAACCCUGACGCAGCAACGCCGCGUGAGUGAUGAAGGCCUUUGGGUCGUAAAGCUCUGUCAGAGGGGAAGAAAUGAUAUAGUGCUAAUACCACUUUAUCUUGACGGUACCCUCAAAGGAAGCACCGGCUAACUCCGUGCCAGCAGCCGCGGUAAUAC